This 200-nucleotide ribosomal RNA is filed under the name uncultured bacterium. RNAcentral's name for it is "partial 16S ribosomal RNA". It matches the Rfam family "Bacterial small subunit ribosomal RNA", at positions 524 to 724 of the family's 1533-position model. The record is from RNAcentral.
UACGUAGGGGGCAAGCGUUAUCCGGAAUUAUUGGGCGUAAAGAGUUCGUAGGUGGAUUUACAAGCCUUGGGUGAAAGGCUACGGCUUAACCGUAGUAAGCCUAAGGAACUGUAAAUCUUGAGUGCAGGAGAGGAAAGCGGAAUUCCUAGUGUAGCGGUGAAAUGCGUAGAUAUUAGGAGGAACACCAGUGGCGAAGGCGG